This 403-nucleotide long non-coding RNA is filed under the name Homo sapiens (human). RNAcentral describes it as "non-protein coding PSMG3-AS1:17". The record is from RNAcentral. Lineage: Eukaryota; Metazoa; Chordata; Mammalia; Primates; Hominidae.
UGGCCUAGAUUCCUGAAACCUUAUGUCUCUUGGAAGAUAGACGGUUUGGCUUUGCAGCUGAUGUGCUUUGUAUUUCCACAGCCUCACGACACGCUCUCCCAUCCUCUCAACAGGAAAGAUUCUGAAGCUUGGCGGAGAGGGGUGUGUGAGUGGACACCAGUGAAGUAACGGUUUUUGUGUUACGAUGAUUUCUGUUUUCCUCUGCUGCCCUGUAAUGGCAGGAACUCGGAUAGUCUGGUCUUCAGACCAGGAGGACUCCCAGGAGAGAACGGAGAGCCAGUGUGCUGUGUGUCACGGUCCCUGGAUGAACGUUUGUGGAACUGGAUUGAAUUAAACAAGACGUGCAAAGCAAGUGGUUCACGAGGUAGUGUGGGGGUGUAGGGAUGGGGACUGACCCGGGAGG